GGGUCUUAACGGCAUUUCACUGCCGGUUUCAUGGCACUCAGCACAGCCGCUGGCGGCUCCGCUCUCCCGCCUCCCCGCGACAGGCCCAUCCAAGAGGAGGCAAAGGAGAUGACUCUGCCAUCUUAACAGCUGCAUAGUAUUCCACGGUGGACAUACACCACGGCGUUCUUAGCCACCCAUCUUUCGUUGGGCAUCUAGGUUGCUUCCAGAUGUGGCUGAUACGCGUGGUGCUGCUGUGAGCACAGACGCACACAAGCCUCUGUGGACGGGCGUCCUCGCUUCCUUUUGACAUCCUCUCUCGAGAGAAGCGCCAAGUCAUAGUGCAGGUCCACGUCUCGCCUUCUGGGAGUUUUCCAGGCAGAUCCCUUACAUCCCUGCCAGCUCUACAGAAAGAGGAGCUUGUUCCCCACAGCCUCGCCAACAGGCAGCGUUUCUGUCUCUUCUAAAGGACGGCAUUCUCACAGCUGUGGCGUGGUGUCUCAUGGUUGUUUUUAUUUGCACUUUUCUGAUCACCUGUGAAUUGGAACAGUUUUUCACGUACUUGUCAGUCAUUUGGGUCUCUCUCCUUUUGUGAAGAUUCUGCUCACAUCCUCGUCUCAUG
Erinaceus europaeus (western European hedgehog) is the source of this 601-nucleotide long non-coding RNA. RefSeq lists it as uncharacterized. NCBI's taxonomy places the organism in Eukaryota, Metazoa, Chordata, Mammalia, Eulipotyphla, Erinaceidae. The transcript has 2 exons. The record is from RefSeq and is a predicted model, not a curated record.